GUAGUCUCGCACAGAUGCAUAUCAAUAAGCGGAGGAAAAGAAACUAACAAGGAUUCCCCUAGUAACGGCGAGUGAAGCGGGAAGAGCUCAAAUUUGAAAUCUUAAAGGGUUUCCCUUUACGAAUUGUAGUUUAAAGAAGUGUUUUCUGUUGAGGUUUUGGUAAAAGUUCUUUGGAAUAGGACAUCAUAGAGGGUGAGAAUCCCGUAUUUGACCUUUACUUUCAACUUUGUGAUACACUUUCAAAGAGUCGGAUUGUUUGGGAAUGCAGUCCAAAAUGGGUGGUAAAUUUCAUCUAAAGCUAAAUAUUGGCGAGAGACCGAUAGCGAACAAGUACCGUGAGGGAAAGAUGAAAAGAACUUUGAAAAGAGAGUUAAACAGUACGUGAAAUUGUCAAAAGGGAAGCGUUUGACACCAGUGUUGUUUUUCUGAAAAUCAAUUAAAGAACUGUUUAUGCUAAGUUGUUUAGACUUUAUCAGCUAACUGUUUAGUUUUGAGCUUUUCUUUAAUGCACUUUUCAGUUAACAAGUCAACAUCAAUUUCUUUUGCUGUAAAAAAGCUUGAGGAAGGGUGGCUUGAGAUUCGUCUUAAGUGUUUAUAGCCUCUUGCCUAUGCAGUCGGAGAGAUUGAGGUCUGCAGCGUAGAUCCUUCGGGGCUAAAUGCAUUUGUGCUAAGUUAUAGCAUUUUAUAGACAACUUGUUGACUAUGAUUUGUCUUGUAGCUUACUCGCUUAUGUUAUUUUACCUACGCUUAGGAUGUUGAACUACUGAGACAUAGA
This 775-nucleotide ribosomal RNA is filed under the name uncultured Neocallimastigales. RNAcentral describes it as "partial large subunit ribosomal RNA". It matches the Rfam family "Eukaryotic large subunit ribosomal RNA", at positions 24 to 644 of the family's 3401-position model. The record is from RNAcentral. Lineage: Eukaryota; Fungi; Neocallimastigomycota; Neocallimastigomycetes; Neocallimastigales.